GCCGACGUAGCUCAAGCGGCAGAGCAUCCGCCUUGUAAGCGGAGGCGUGCGGGUUCAAGUCCCGCCGUCGGCU
Molecule: transfer RNA, 73 nt
Filed under: Anaerolineae bacterium
Lineage: Bacteria; Bacillati; Chloroflexota; Anaerolineae
Description: tRNA-Thr
Rfam family: tRNA
About the family: Transfer RNA (tRNA) molecules are approximately 80 nucleotides in length. Their secondary structure includes four short double-helical elements and three loops (D, anti-codon, and T loops).
Source: RNAcentral